Molecule: ribosomal RNA, 1761 nt
Filed under: Triticum aestivum (bread wheat)
Lineage: Eukaryota; Viridiplantae; Streptophyta; Magnoliopsida; Poales; Poaceae
Description: partial small subunit ribosomal RNA
Source: RNAcentral
AUGCUCAAUUCUACUACAGAAGUUGACAAAGAAACAAACGAAGUGACAGCUCUGUUUUGGGUGGAUGGAAGGACAAGAGGAUUGUACCCAAAGUACAAAGAUUGUGUGUCCUUUGACACAACAUUUUGCACAAAUCGGUACAAUCUGCCUUUCGCUCCUAUUGUUGGUGUGAACAACCACUUGCAAACCGUGUUGCCAGGUUGUGCCUUGGUGCCAAAUGAACAAAUAGAAACUUUCAAGUGGGUGUUUCAACAUUGGAUGAUUGCAAUGAAUAAUGAGCACCUGUUGCACCUAAUGACUGACCAGGACAAGGCAAUGGAAACAGCAAUAAAAGAUGUCUUCCCAAACACAGUGCAUUGGUGCUGCAAAUGGCACGUCCAGCGAAAAGCAGGGGAAAAGUUGGGUAGGAUCCUGAGCAUGGAUGAAAAUUUUGAGCAGGUUUUCUAUGGGGUUAUCAAUGAUUCGGAGACGGUGGAUGAGUUCGAGGAGAAUUGGCAGCAUAUGCUGCAUUGCUUUGACUUGGUUGACAACAGACAUCUAAGCAACAUGUGGCGUAAGCGAGAGACCUGGGCUCCAGCAUACUUCCGAAAGAACUUCUUCCCAUUUACAAGCACUACAGGGCGGUCUGAGGGUCUCAACUCCUACUUCAAGACAUUUGUCAACCCUCAAGACUUUGUCUGGAGAUUUGUACAACAAUAUGAGGUGCUUCAAGAAACAAUGUUGGACCGUGAAGACAAUCAAGCUUUCAUAGGCCACGCAACAACUGCACCACUUUACUCAAGGUACAACUUUGAGCGCCAAGCAGUUCACUUCUAUACCCGAAGCGUGUUUCUCAAGUUUCAAAAAGAGGUCAUGGCAUCAAUAGGCUUCAUCAUGAACCUGGCCCCUGCUCUUGACAAUGCAAGCGUGAGGUUUGAGCUGCACUCAAAUUACUUUGAGAACCCCCGAAUAUUUUCAGUGAAUGUUGUGUUGGCAGAGGAGAAGUUUGAAUGCAGCUGCAACUGUUUUGAGAUGAAUGGGAUUAUUUGUGCACACAUCAUAAGGGUAAUGGUGCAUCUCAAUGUCCAAAAAAUUCCACAAAGAUACAUGCUAGAGAGGUGGUCAGAAGCUGCGACAACGGCAAUGAGCGGUGGUGGAUGUCUCCUAGAUUUUGGGCACCCUGCAACCAACACUCUCAAGUACAACGCCUUGUGCAGAAAGUAUACAUGGUUGGCUUCACAAGCUUGCAGCAACGAUCUUGCCUACAAAAUAAUGAAUGAUGCAGCUCACCAACUUGAGCCCCUCAUAGCUGCAGCAAAGCAAGGGGCGCUCCCAGAACAACAGGAAGCAAAUCAGCGGCAAGCAAUGCAACAGCAACAACAAACCCCCGAGCCAACCACUGUGCCGCAACCUGAUGGCGAUGCCAUGCUUCAUAACCCCGCACGUGUUCCAAAAAAAGGGCGUUCGACUGAAAAAUCAAAGAGGAGAAAGACUCUGCUUGAGCAACGAGAAGAUGCACAUAAGAAUAAAGCUAAGAAAGAUGAAAAGAAGCAAACCAAGCCCAGAGGAAAACCUGGACCAAAGAAGAAAGCACCUCCUUGCUCGUACUGCAACGAAGAAGGUCACGGUGUCCAAACAUGCCAGUACUUGAAGGCUGCAAUGGGGGUCAAAAAAUGUCCCUACUGUGAAGAGCAAGGUCAUGCUGUGCAAGAAUGUCCCUACCUAAAAGCUGCAAUGAAGACAGAUGCUAGCAUGGCUAGAGCAACAAAGCUUAGGCUGUGA